Molecule: ribosomal RNA, 465 nt
Filed under: Vreelandella stevensii
Lineage: Bacteria; Pseudomonadati; Pseudomonadota; Gammaproteobacteria; Oceanospirillales; Halomonadaceae
Description: partial 16S ribosomal RNA
Rfam family: Bacterial small subunit ribosomal RNA
Source: RNAcentral
CCUACGGGGGGCUGCAGUGGGGAAUAUUGGACAAUGGGCGAAAGCCUGAUCCAGCCAUGCCGCGUGUGUGAAGAAGGCCUUCGGGUUGUAAAGCACUUUCAGUGGGGAAGAAAGCCUUGGGGCUAAUACCCUCGAGGAAGGACAUCACCCACAGAAGAAGCACCGGCUAACUCCGUGCCAGCAGCCGCGGUAAUACGGAGGGUGCGAGCGUUAAUCGGAAUUACUGGGCGGAAAGCGCGCGUAGGCGGUCUGAUAAGCCGGUUGUGAAAGCCCCGGGCUCAACCUGGGAACGGCAUCCGGAACUGUCAGGCUAGAGUGCAGGAGAGGAAGGUAGAAUUCCCGGUGUAGCGGUGAAAUGCGUAGAGAUCGGGAGGAAUACCAGUGGCGAAGGCGGCCUUCUGGACUGACACUGACGCUGAGGUGCGAAAGCGUGGGUAGCAAACAGGAUUAGAUACCCCAGUAGUC